GCUAAAAAUCUAGCUCUACCCCCAACCUAUAACCAGACUCUCCCGACCGCCUUUCAAUUAAAACAUUUUUACACUUUAGUAAAGGAGAUUGAAAAACUUUCCGAAGCAAUAAACCUAGUACCGCAAGGGAAAGAUGAAAUACUAAUGAAAUACCCUCAAGCACAAAAAAGUAAAGCUUAACCCUUGUACCUUUUGCAUCAUGGUUCAACUAGUCUAAUCAAGCAAAAAGAAUUUCAGUUUGACUUCCCGAAACUAGGCGAGCUACUUCGAGGCAGCUUAAUGAGCUAACCCGUCUCUGUGGCAAAAGAGUGGGAAGACCCCUAAGUAGUGGCGACAUACCUACCGAGCCUAGUGAUAGCUGGUUACCCGAGAAAAGAAUUUUAGUCCAACCUAAAGUCUUUGCAUUAUUAUAAAACAUCUCUUUUGACUUUAGAGCAAUUCAAAUAGGGUACAGCCUAUUUGAAACAGGAUACAACCUCAUCUGAAGGGUAAACUUAUUUUAUUUAACCUCAAGUGGGCCUAAAAGCAGCCAUCUUUUUAAAAGCGUCACAGCUUAAUACUAAUAAAUCUCUCAAUUUCAUCUCCCAACUCCAACCCUCUGCCAAUACCGAGUAAUUCUAUAGCCUUAUAGAAAAUUUUAUGUUGAAACUAGUAACAUGAAGAAAGACCUUCUCUUAAGUGUAAGCAUAAAUCAGAACGGACCGACCACUGACAAUUAACGCUUAUGAACACACAUUAGCAACCCAUGCUAGAAAAACCUAAUUCUAAUUAACGUUAACCUAACACAAGAACACUUCAAGAAAGAUUAAAAGAAGGAGAAGGAACUCGGCAAAUAUUAACCCCGCCUGUUUACCAAAAACAUCGCCUCUUGAAUAAAAAUAAGAGGUCCAGCCUGCCCAGUGACCAAUGUUCAACGGCCGCGGUAUCCUAACCGUGCGAAGGUAGCGUAAUCACUUGUUCUUUAAAUGAGGACUAGUAUGAACGGCAUCACGAGGGUUAUACUGUCUCCUCCAUCUAAUCAGUGAAACUAAUCUCCCCGUGAAGAAGCGGGGAUAAACCUAUAAGACGAGAAGACCCUAUGGAGCUUUAAACUUUCCCUCAAGCAUCACAAUAACUUUUCAAGUCACAGACUUUCCUUAUUUAUCCUGAUGCAGUGUAAGCAAGUUUUAGGUUGGGGUGACCACGGAGUACAAAAAAACCUCCACGCUGAACAUAGGCCUCUAAACCUUAAACAAAGGACCACAGCCCAAUGUAUUAAUAAAUUAACAUUCAUUGACCCAAUAUAUUUUUGACCAACGAACCAAGUUACCCUAGGGAUAACAGCGCAAUCCUCUUCAAGAGUCCUUAUCGACAAGGGGGUUUACGACCUCGAUGUUGGAUCAGGGUAUCCCAGUGGUGCAGCCGCUACUAAUGGUUCGUUUGUUCAACGAUUAAAACCCU
RNAcentral lists this ribosomal RNA (1440 nucleotides) under Scinax sp. KAV30. RNAcentral describes it as "partial 16S large subunit ribosomal RNA". It matches the Rfam family "Bacterial large subunit ribosomal RNA", at positions 260 to 2597 of the family's 2925-position model. Lineage: Eukaryota; Metazoa; Chordata; Amphibia; Anura; Hylidae. The record is from RNAcentral.